Molecule: long non-coding RNA, 412 nt
Organism: Hemicordylus capensis (graceful crag lizard)
Lineage: Eukaryota; Metazoa; Chordata; Lepidosauria; Squamata; Cordylidae
Exons: 3
Source: RefSeq, a predicted model, not a curated record
GAGGAGGCUGCUGGCUGCGUUAUAUGCUGCUGAGCUGACUGUGACUCUGGCUGUCUGAGUCGGGGAGGACUGAGGAAAAUAAAGAAACAACAUUUUGAAAAACUGGCAGCGGCUUCUCCAAGGUUGCAGGCAGGAAUCGGAAAAACAGACUUGGGAAGAACUAACCUCGGGAAGAACUAACCUCGGGUUUGAGCGAUAGAACCUCUUUUCGAGGUCCCAGAAAGAAACCUUCAAGGAAACGGGACAGAACAGGUGCCCUCAUACUAGGGAAUUGGAACAUUCCCCUUCUUGUAAUCAGGCUGUUGUCCCUGCCCCCCUCCACCUGUCUGGAGACUGAAAGGAGAAGAAGAUUGAAGUAGGCUAAACUAAAGAGAACGGACCAGAGACCAUACAGAAGUGGACAACAGGAUGC